CCAGCGGCCCCCCCCGCCCCCGAGAUCCGAACCGGAGGAGUCUCUUAAGCUUGCGUGUUCCCGGCUGCAGUGGCUGCCUUGCGGUAUGGGACGAGCGGGGCCCGAGCGGGCGGAAAUUUGAGAGUGUGCCUGCACUGCUGCUGUGUAUCUGCCUUUGGUGCAGCCAGAAACCAGCCACACGAACCUUGGUACCAGUGAACUUGUGCUGGCCACUGGGCAUUAGGGCAUUGACUACAAGAGCCGAUCAGAGGGGUGGGGUGUAGAGGGGUACGGGUAAUAAAGAGGAUGUGACCUCAGGUUGAUGCUCCA
This 309-nucleotide long non-coding RNA is filed under the name Sus scrofa (pig). RNAcentral describes it as "lncRNA (ENSSSCG00070012239.1)". The record is from RNAcentral. Lineage: Eukaryota; Metazoa; Chordata; Mammalia; Artiodactyla; Suidae.